This 429-nucleotide ribosomal RNA is filed under the name Bacillota bacterium. Its description in RNAcentral is "Firmicutes bacterium partial 16S ribosomal RNA". It matches the Rfam family "Bacterial small subunit ribosomal RNA", at positions 355 to 776 of the family's 1533-position model. Lineage: Bacteria; Bacillati; Bacillota. The record is from RNAcentral.
UAGGGAAUCUUCGGCAAUGGACGGAAGUCUGACCGAGCAACGCCGCGUGAGUGAAGAAGGUUUUAGGAUCGUAAAGCUCUGUUGUUAGAGAAGAACGUUGGCAGGAGUGGAAAAUCUACCAAGUGACGGUAAAUAACCAGAAAGGGACGGCUAACUACGUGCCAGCAGCCGCGGUAAUACGUAGGUCCCGAGCGUUGUCCGGAUUUAUUGGGCGUAAAGCGAGCGCAGGCGGUUCUUUAUGUCUGAAGUUAAAGGCAGUGGCUUAACCAUUGUACGCUUUGGAAACUGGAUGACUUGAGUGCGGAAGGGGAGAGUGGAAUUCCAUGUGUAGCGGUGAAAUGCGUAGAUAUAUGGAGGAACCCCGGUGGCGAAAGCGGCUCUCUGGUCUAUUACUGACGCUGAUGCUCGAAAGCGUGGGGAGCAAACAGG